GAAUCUAUACAGUUUUGUUAAAAUGGGCUGCCUUCUUAUAUUAAUUAGACUUUAUAAUUAGUUUAAUUAAUUUAUUUAAAGAAUGAUUUGCAUAAUAAUAUUAAAUUAUUAUUAUGUGCAUAUUUUAAGUAAAUUACUUAUUAUAUGCUAAGCAUGACAUGAUAUUGCAUUAUAUUUUGCAAUAAAAGUAUUUAUGAUUUAAUUGGUUUUAUUUAUAAUUCCAAUUAUUUAAGAAAAUCGAGUAAGGAUAUUGUUGGUGUCCUUAACUCAAGAAUUUUAGUUUUCAAUUAUUAUUCAUUAAAUUUUUGAAAAACCCGGCGUGAUAAAUCAUAGUAGUUAAGUGCACCCACUAAGACUUUAAGUUAGCUUCACGAGACCUAUUAAGAAUAGAAUUUCUUGUAGGCUUUGUGACCAGGGGGAUUAGCGCUGCUUUCCCAAGACAGGUUUAUAUGUGAUUAUGAUCUUCAGGCUUUGCCUAACCAGGUUGGCUGGCCGGUGCUGACGGGACGGAGCUGAGGCUAGAGAUAAAUUCCUAUGUUAGACUUCCGCUGUAGCAAUUACUCAUAUCAGUCUUUUGUUUUCCCAACUUAAGAUCUUCAUGUUAAAUUUCAAAUGAUAUACCUGACCGAGCUUAGACUCUUCACUACUAAAUUUAUGCCAAUGAAUGUUGGUUGUCAGAAGCAUGAAACAAAACUUGUGAUCCAAAGGGGCCUAGCCCGACUCGUUAUCUUAUUAUUCGGGUUUUAAUAAGGUUGUUCCUUGUUUAUUUCUAUGAA
Salvia miltiorrhiza (redroot sage) is the source of this 776-nucleotide long non-coding RNA. RefSeq lists it as uncharacterized. The transcript has 2 exons. The record is from RefSeq and is a predicted model, not a curated record. NCBI's taxonomy places the organism in Eukaryota, Viridiplantae, Streptophyta, Magnoliopsida, Lamiales, Lamiaceae.